RNAcentral lists this ribosomal RNA (402 nucleotides) under uncultured bacterium. RNAcentral describes it as "bacterial SSU rRNA". It matches the Rfam family "Bacterial small subunit ribosomal RNA", at positions 356 to 774 of the family's 1533-position model. The record is from RNAcentral.
AGGGAAUAUUGCAAAAUGGGCGAAAGCCCGAUGCAGCAACGCCGCGUGGGCGAUGAAGGCCUUCGGGUCGUAAAGCCCUUUUUGAGGGGAUGAGGAAGGACAGUACCCUCAGAGUAAGCCUCGGCUAACUACGUGCCAGCAGCCGCGGUAAAACGUAGGAGGCGAGCGUUAUCCGGAUUUACUGGGCGUAAAGCGCGUGCAGGCGGAUUGGAGAGUUGGAUGUGAAAGCUCCCGGCUUAACUGGGAGAGGUCGUUCAAUACUUCCAGUCUUGAGUGCAGUAGAGGGAAGUGGAAUUCCGGGUGUAGUGGUGAAAUGCGUAGAUAUCCGGAGGAACACCAGUGGCGAAAGCGGCUUCCUGGACUGUAACUGACGCUCAGACGCGAAAGCUAGGGUAGCAAACG